This 207-nucleotide ribosomal RNA is filed under the name uncultured bacterium. RNAcentral's name for it is "partial 16S ribosomal RNA". It matches the Rfam family "Bacterial small subunit ribosomal RNA", at positions 568 to 774 of the family's 1533-position model. The record is from RNAcentral.
CGCGUAGGCGGUUGAGUAAGUCAAAUGUGAAAUCCCCGGGCUUAACCUGGGAACUGCAUUCGAUACUGCUUAACUAGAGUAUGGUAGAGGGAAGUGGAAUUCCGGGUGUAGCGGUGAAAUGCGUAGAUAUCCGGAGAAACACCAGUGGCGAAGGCGACUUCCUGGGCCAAUACUGACGCUGAGGUGCGAAAGCGUGGGGAGCAAACA